AAGGUAACGGCUUACCAAGGCGACGAUCAGUAGCCGACCUGAGAGGGUGAUCGGCCACAUUGGAACUGAGACACGGUCCAAACUCCUACGGGAGGCAGCAGUGGGGAAUAUUGCACAAUGGGCGAAAGCCUGAUGCAGCAACGCCGCGUGAGUGAUGAAGGCCUUCGGGUCGUAAAACCCUGUCCUCAAGGAAGAUAAUGACGGUACUUGAGGAGGAAGCCCCGGCUAACUACGUGCCAGCAGCCGCGGUAAUACGUAGGGGGCUAGCGUUAUCCGGAUUU
RNAcentral lists this ribosomal RNA (281 nucleotides) under Clostridioides difficile. RNAcentral's name for it is "partial 16S ribosomal RNA". It matches the Rfam family "Bacterial small subunit ribosomal RNA", at positions 254 to 552 of the family's 1533-position model. Lineage: Bacteria; Bacillati; Bacillota; Clostridia; Peptostreptococcales; Peptostreptococcaceae. The record is from RNAcentral.